Populus trichocarpa (black cottonwood) is the source of this 75-nucleotide non-coding RNA. NCBI's taxonomy places the organism in Eukaryota, Viridiplantae, Streptophyta, Magnoliopsida, Malpighiales, Salicaceae. The record is from Rfam.
UCCUAUGAUGGCAUGAAAUCUUUGAGACCUGAUUGUAUUCAUCUGAUGACAACUAUAAGCAUUAUUGCUGAGGAC